UUCAUUUAAAUUCUUAACUUCUCUUAAAUUUAUUUGAUAAUUUUAUCAUAUCUAGAAUUCAUAUAAUAAUAUAUAACAUUAUUAUAUAUCUAUAUUAUGUAUAUCUAUAAUUUCAUAAUAUUAUCAACCGUCUUAUAUAUAUCUUGGAAAUUUCUUCAAAUAUUAACUCUUUUAUUUACAUACAAAUUCAUCACAAUUGAAUAUUCUAUAAUUAUUUCCUUCAUGCAUUCUUCAUUCAAAGAAUAAACGAAACGCAAAACGCUAACUGAAAGACAAAGAAUUUGGCCGAAAUUAAUGGACACGUGUUAUUUUUAUGAAUACCUGGGAAUCCAAAAUCAACAUAAAGACCUCUACAUAAAUAGAUGCAUGUAUGGUCAACAACCUUAGGGGCAAGAACAGCCAUUCUCAUAAACAUUCCACUUCCCUCUUUCUUUUUUUAUUCGAUAUAAUCCUAAUGAAAAAAUAAACCUAUACUAUAGAUAUAAUAAUAAUAAUUAUAAUUGUGGUUAUUAACAUUUGAUUAUUAACAAAUUCCUAGAAGAAGAGAAAUAAAAAUAUAAAAAAUACAAUGAAUAAUAAAAGAAUAAGUAUCGCGAUAUUCCUCGUGAUAAAGGUGUUAUGUCAAUGAAUGGUUAAUCUAAUUCUUUCUGAUGGUUACGAAUAGAUUUCUUCUAUAAAGACUUUGAAACAUGGUCUUCUUGCUUGAAAUUUCGAGGAUUAUUAAUUUUGAGAAUUAAUUCGAUGACCAGGCGAAUACGGUUUCUCCAUACAGCAUUAUUCAUUGUGAACAGGAAAUGCAAAUUUUUCUCUGGCCCGGUUCUGCCCCCUCGCCUCAGGACACUGCCCUUUGACCCUUUCCAAGUCCCCUUUGCUUUCAUAUAUUUCUGUUUAUCUUAUUUUUCCAAUAUGCAUUGGCCUUUUUUUCUUCUUCUCUUUUAGAUAGGUCUUUCAAAUAAUUGAUAAACUUUCGAUGGUGUUUUUCUGAUUUGAGUUAAAUACUUGCAUCUAAAUGUUUCUUAUAUUUUAUUUUCUCUAAAAAAUGUUAUUUUUAUUUUCAUUACAUACAAUUAUUAAAAAUAAAGUCUUUAAUUAUGGAAUAUGAUAAUAGGGAUAUUUAGGGACAAUAAGGAUAUUUUUAAAAAAUUAUAGCUUUUGUUAUUCAAUAAUAUAAAAGAACGAAAAUUUUUUUACUUAUUUUCAUUAUAUUCAUUAUAUAUUCAUAUUGCAUAAUCAAUAGAUAGAUCAGGAAUGAAGUAUAAUGAAUCUUCAAUUAAAAAUUGAUAUAAUCAUUUCUAACUGAUCUUCAAAAAACUUAAGUUGUUAUCUUGAGUAAAAUUUGUAAUACAUCUAUAAAUAAAGUAUCAAGAAUACAAAAUUCUUAAAUAACAAUUUCACUUGUAUAAAGCCUGAAGAUUUGAUAAACCGAUAAAUGAAAUUGCAGAUUUGACAAAUUAACAUGGUCAAAAUUUAAUUUGCAAUUCACUUAACAAUUCCAUUGGUUGACCAACAGAGGAAAAGCUACGCAUCCCGUGUCCAAGUGUCGCGGAUCCCCUCUUCAUUCGGAGGAUCGCACCACGUGUUUCUUUCUCUCGGAAUCCUCCCUUCUCCGCAACUGUAAAUCAAGUUCACUGUUCAGUAGUGUUCAGUUCAGUCGCCCUCGGGAUAUCGUACCAGUUGGUGGUUGUAUUAUGGUUAUAUCUUCAUUAAUUUUGCAUAUUUCUAAUUUAACAGAAUUGAUUCAAACUGUUUUAAAUCAUUUUAAACCGAAGAGUGUAGUGUUAUAAUAAUUUCGAUCUUUUCUAGUUUUAUUUACAUUCUUUUAUUUUGUUUAUUCAUCUUUUUUCAAAAAAGAAAAAGAAAUGAUUCGAUAUUUUUAAUCAAAUGGAUUCAUUGAAUAAGAUAUAUAUAUAUAUAUAUAUAUACAUCGCUUAAUAUAGUAGUGUACAGAGGCUGAUUCUAACCUUCCUGUGAUACCAUGGAUAUCACGCUGGGCGGAAACGAAUAUCUUUUUGUGGGCUAUGCAUGUUUGGUUAGAGAAUGGAACGAUUCAAAGGAUACUAGAAUGUAAAAAUAGGUGAUGGCAUAUAGUAUAGAAUAAAGUGGACAGAUAUUGAUUAUUGAUUUCUAAUCAUUUUAAUCAAAUUUAAUGACUGUCUACAGAAUCACUCAGACCCCUGUAGCAACAAGGAUAAGAAAGGUAUGAGAUAAUUAUAUAGGGACGUGUUUGAUAGAAGUUUUGAACAAAUAUAUUUUGUUCCUGAUUUUAUUUUGUCCUGAUGAAAACGAUGGUUCCAUUAUUGAUUUUCGUAUAGUUUUCUCUUUUUUUUGGAUGAUAUUGGAACCACGAAUAAAUGAAAUCAUCAGCACAAAAGUUGGGUAUUAUUAGGCCAGUUUCUCAAUAUAAUUUCACACAUUCCGUAUUACACGCAUUGAACACGUUUAAAUGGUAAUAUUCGUACAAUUAUUAUUUAGCUUAUCCAUACAACAUGUACAUAAUCAUAAUUUUCUACUAUAUCACUAUAAUAUAUUUUAUUAUAUAGUAUGUAUACGUGUCUCUUUAUUAAUGCACAGAGUAAACGGGAAAUAAUAAGAAACGCUUAAUUAGGUUAUGUUACGAACCGCAUGUUUUUUUCCUUUAAAAAAAUUUUAUAAAUGAAAAAUUAUAUUCGAUAAUUAUAUGAUUGGUUUCAAUAUAAUGAAUCAUCUUACUGAAUAGAUAAUAUUACUUCCGGUUCACUCUGCAACUUGUAUAUCAUUUAUUUAUUUUAAAUGCUAGAAUCAAAUUUCUCGCUAAAAUGAGAUCGAUUUAUUACAAUAAAAUGUCGAUCAUAGAAUGUGUCUUUUGAAGACAUUUUUUUUCUUUUAAAUAUUCAUUUCUAAAGAAGAAAGAGAAAAAUACGAUGAAUAUAUUAUUGGGAAUGUCGCAGGCAUUUUCAACCGAGAAUUUAUUCUCUGUCUCCCCAAUUUCAUCGCUCUGAUGUCAACUGUAAAAAUCUUUAUAAAUAAAUAAAAUUUUAUAAUUUUUUCAAA
Molecule: long non-coding RNA, 3030 nt
Organism: Apis cerana (Asiatic honeybee)
Lineage: Eukaryota; Metazoa; Arthropoda; Insecta; Hymenoptera; Apidae
Source: RefSeq, a predicted model, not a curated record